Oreochromis niloticus (Nile tilapia) is the source of this 55-nucleotide microRNA precursor. The record is from Ensembl. Lineage: Eukaryota; Metazoa; Chordata; Actinopteri; Cichliformes; Cichlidae.
AGACUAUUUGGAAACCACUGCACUAUUAAGUCCAGUGGUUUCCAAAUAGUCUGAU